This 281-nucleotide unclassified non-coding RNA is filed under the name Hevea brasiliensis (rubber tree). The record is from RNAcentral. Lineage: Eukaryota; Viridiplantae; Streptophyta; Magnoliopsida; Malpighiales; Euphorbiaceae.
GUCCUCUCUCUCUAAAAUCCCCCUCUCUUCACUGUCUCUCAAUCUGUAUCCUCUCCAUGGAAAACCCUCCAAACACCAGACUUUCAAUUUACAUUGUAGAUCGUUCCAUAAAGAUGGCAACAGAUGCCAGCCAUAGUUGAAAUUGCACAUCUGCUACAACAGACUUUCAAUUUACAUUAUUUCAGCAGAUUGAUGAAAUGGAGGGAGAGAAUGCAAAGAAUCAUAUUGCAAUAGUCAUUCAUUCAAAAGUUUCUAUUACAACAACUCAACUCAAUUCAACU